GGGAUUCGACCCCAACCGAUGUUGGGUUUAUUAUUGCUAAGGACCAUACUAUGCUUUCUUUAAAGGUGUAGGAUUGGACGUCAACAUCCCUCUGUCCCAUUUUAUGUGACACCCGUUCUCUUUUACUCUAUCCCCCAAAAAAAUGACAUCUUUUUAUAUUUAGAAACAAUUCAACUGUAAGCUUCUCAUUUUACCUUAAGUAGAUGAUUUAUAAUCGCACAAAUAUCUAUGGCUUGUUUUAGAACUCAAGUUUCAAAAUUUUCUCUUUCUUCUUAAACUCCAAGCUAAGUCAAACAUUAUUACGUAAAAGGGGAUCCCGAAGUAUACUGUACAAGAAGGCAGAGCCGUAAAUCAGAAGAGCAACUCACAAGAUGCACUGGCUGAUAAAUGAACAUCAGCAUGAAAAUGAAUGGUGAUGUCUUUUCUCUUGGUAUUGUCUUACAUUUUGUUGUCAUUUUGUAUAAGCACAGGGAAAAAGAAGUCUGACUCAAAAGGAGAAAAAAGAAAUGUUAAUAAUCUAUUGGUCCCGAUAAUAACAGAUUUUUUAGACGGGGAGUUGAUUUAACUGUACCCUUAGAAAUGGUUUUGCAUUGUCAAGAAAUUCAGAGCAGUGUUCUUCACAGGAAUUUCAUCGAACAACACGGCGGCUCUAGGUAAACAAUGACUUGGCACGCAAAUCAACCAAAACAGAGAACACAUACACGCUUAAAACAAACCAGAAUAUUCAUGUAAAAGGGCGUGAACCACUUGGCCCAAAGUCCACAUUUAGAACACCAUUUGAAUGCACGGAAGAGAAGUGAUGGAGAGCAAGAGCAUGGAACUUAGUUUGGCAAAAAUGGUUUUAGAAAGCAAAGGUUAGGGGUAAGGCCUCGUCUGCAUAUAAUCCUCCUCACACAUCUUCACUUUGUGGGACUAUAUUGGAUAGUUAUUGUUGUAGCUGUUGUUAAAGCAAAGGUUAGGGGAGUUCAAAAAGAAAUAAGUUAAAAAAUUUAAUGAGAUUGUAGCUAGUGGGAAUUAAACCAACGAUUUUGAACCCCCUUAACCACUAAGUCAUGCAUUUGAGCUAUGUGAAGGGGAUUUAAAACAUAAUAUAUAGAAGUAAAAAUCAAAUUUUAUCUUAUAUAUAAAAUAUAAUAUUUUGUCUGUGAACACCUAGUGAUAUCCCAACUCACCGAUCCAACUAAUCCAGAUUUGAGUCAUACCUGGUUAAGGAUAAAGGAUCUCGUUAAUCCCACCAAACUUUGUAUGGUUGCAUUUGCAAAGAAUAAAAAGACCCACCCAUGUGGAUUUAACUCAUAUACAUAAAAACAGGCGUUAAAAUUCAUUUUAAACUACGGUUAAGGGUCAAAUAUAUUCUUGUUCUAUUAAAAAAAAGUCAUAUUUAUCCCCCGUUUAAAUUUUUUAUCAAAUAUGUCCCCACCGUUAUACAUUAGGGCCAUAUAUAUCCCUCAACCGUUAAAACAGCCUUCCAUAUUUUUUAAUAGCACGUGGCAUCUUAUGAUUGGACCAGACAACCUGCCCCAUUCCUUUAAUUAAACCCGCCCCAACCCAACGUAUUAAACACUGUGACCCAGCGUUAUAGCCCCAUGUAUCAAACCCGCCCCAUAUACCUAGUUUAAUAUUUUUUCCCCUUCAAUCUAACGGAAACUCAGACCCAAUUUCACUCAAAAUUAAAAAACUUGCCACAGGCGGUCAUAUUCAUCAUCCCCAAAUAGAACUCUAUAUCCCAAUAAAAAAUCAGAGAAAUUGAUUUUUCAUUUUCUCAAAUGCAUAAUUGUUGCUCUUGUUCUUCCUCUUUAUUUGUUUUCUCCUAUUCCUCGAAUCCCAAUAAAAUAUCAGAGAAAUUGAUUUUUCAUUUUCUCAAAUGCAUAAUUGUUGCUCUUGUUCUUCCUCUUUUAUUUGUUUUCUCCUAUUCCUCGGCUUGACCGCCCCUUGUUCCUCUCCAUUCUCUCGUCACCUCCACUGUUCACGUUGUCGAACUGUUGGUCAAGCCACAGAAAUUUUAAAUCAGAACCUCCAAAUGGGAAGAUCCAAUUAAAUUCUACCUAAAAGUUAUCGAUCAAAAAUGAAUUUGUGCAAAUUGAAAUACAUUCAUGAGUCUUCAAUUAAGGUAACUGAAAACAAAACAAAAACUGAUCUCGACUCUUACCCAUUUAGAUAAUUGAAGAUCAAUUAGCUCUUGGUAGCUUGUGGCUACCUGCUGCCUGCUGUUAGUUUGAGUUUGGUUUUGGCAUCAUGGAGUAUCACUUGUUUUGAGUGAUAGAAUACAGAGAAAAAGAGAGAUAGAGAUUUUUUAUUAAUUACCAAGUACAACCAUUAUGUGCAGAGAGAAAAGGGGAAGGCGUGGAAGAUGGGAAGGAAAAGAUCAACCCAUUUGGAAAAUAGCAAAGGACGAGUGGGGGUCAUAGUGUUUAACACGCUAGGUCGGGGCGGGUUUAAUAAAGGAAUGAGACGGGUCGUCUGGUCCAAUCAUAAGAUGUUACGUGCUACUAAAAAAUAUGGAAGAGUGUUUUAACGGCUGAGGUAUAUAUAUGGCCCUAAUGUAUAACGGUGAGGACAUAUUUGAUAAAAAAUUCAAAG
RNAcentral lists this long non-coding RNA (2580 nucleotides) under Nicotiana benthamiana. Its description in RNAcentral is "long non-coding RNA (NBEN_LNC003835)". Lineage: Eukaryota; Viridiplantae; Streptophyta; Magnoliopsida; Solanales; Solanaceae. The record is from RNAcentral.